ACGAACGCUGGCGGCGUGCUUAACACAUGCAAGUCGAGCGGUAAGGCCCUUCGGGGUACACGAGCGGCGAACGGGUGAGUAACACGUGGGUGACCUGCCCUCCCACUUCGGGAGUAAGCCCGGGAAACCGUGGGUCUAAUACCGGACAGGACCAUUGCAUGCAUGUGCGGUGGUGGAAAGCCUGUGUCUUGAUUGAUGCUGGCGGUGGGGGAUGGGCCCGCGGUCUAUCAGCUUGNGGUGGGGUGAU
Molecule: ribosomal RNA, 247 nt
Filed under: uncultured bacterium
Lineage: Bacteria
Description: partial 16S ribosomal RNA
Rfam family: Bacterial small subunit ribosomal RNA
Source: RNAcentral